Molecule: long non-coding RNA, 274 nt
Filed under: Mytilus galloprovincialis (Mediterranean mussel)
Lineage: Eukaryota; Metazoa; Mollusca; Bivalvia; Mytilida; Mytilidae
Source: RNAcentral
CUCUGAACUUAAUAACUAAGCCUUAUUCUCAAAUGGACGUUUCAUGAAUAAACUUGAGAAAAAAAUCGAAGAAAUUCUUCUUUUUAUCUAUUUUGGAAAAGUAUAAUAUGAAGCUGGCUUCCGGUCUAGAAUUAGAACGACUGACUUUUUAUAGGAAUGAAACCUACCCUUAAUAUAGUCGUAAUGGAUAUAUUGUCAACUAUCGCUUUUUAUUGUAACUUAACAUGAUUUCCAAUGGAAUUACCAGAAAUUUCACUAAAAUAAAAGAUUUCUG